UACGUAGGGGGCAAGCGUUGUCCGGAUUUAUUGGGCGUAAAGAGCGUGUAGGCGGCCAGAUAGGUCAGCUGUGAAAACUCGAGGCUCAACCUCGAGACGCCGGUGGAAACCAUCAGACUAGAGUCCGGAAGAGGAGAGUGGAAUUCCUGGUGUAGCGGUGAAAUGCGCAGAUAUCAGGAAGAACACCCGUGGCUAAGGCGGCUCUCUAGUACGGUACUGACGCUGAGACGCGAAAGCGUGGGGAGCGAACAGG
This 253-nucleotide ribosomal RNA is filed under the name uncultured bacterium. Its description in RNAcentral is "partial 16S ribosomal RNA". It matches the Rfam family "Bacterial small subunit ribosomal RNA", at positions 524 to 776 of the family's 1533-position model. The record is from RNAcentral.